GUGCCAGCAGCCGCGGUAAUACAGAGGGUGCAAGCGUUGUUCGGAAUUAUUGGGCGUAAAGCGCGUGUAGGCGGCCAAGCAUGUCGGGUGUGAAAGCCCUGGGCUUAACCCAGGAAGUGCGCCCGAAACUACGUGGCUUGAGUGUCGGAGAGGAUGGCGGAACUCCCGGUGUAGAGGUGAAAUUCGUAGAUAUCGGGAAGAACACCAGUGGCGAAGGCGGCCAUCUGGACGACAACUGACGCUGAGACGCGAAAGCGUGGGGAGCAAACAGGAUUAGAUACCCUGGUAGUCC
This 292-nucleotide ribosomal RNA is filed under the name uncultured bacterium. Its description in RNAcentral is "partial 16S ribosomal RNA". It matches the Rfam family "Bacterial small subunit ribosomal RNA", at positions 505 to 796 of the family's 1533-position model. The record is from RNAcentral.